CCUCCUGUUAUAGCCACCAUCGUUAUCAUCUCAGAUCCAAACCUUCAUUGUUGUCGUCGAAUAAGAAAGCUAUCCUCAUAUCAGCACAUGAACUGUUUGUUUUCCUUUAUUUUAUUUCACUUUUAUAAAGUAAACCUAGAUUCAGAGUUCUUUUCUUACCCUUAAAAAUCUUUAACCCGAUCUGGAUUGUUUAGAUGAACACAAAAACACAACCUCUAGGAUUCAAAUUAGCAAUACAGGGAGAUGGAGAAAGCAGUGCUAUUAUGAUUUCUUAGAAUCCCUAAAAUUAAAUCUCCACUGAAAACCCUAGAUUUGGUCAUGACCAAAUUGAAAACUUCAUCUUCUUCGUUGUGGAUUCCGCGAAUCAACAUCAGUGAUUGAAGCAUGAAUUGCAUUUCUAAUGGGUUUAAGAGAUUGGGUUUUCCCCAAUUUUGAGUCCACAAAUAGGGUUACAAGGCUGUGAAGAUGAUGGAGUUGAUAUGGAGUUAUAAUAACAUGAAUUGUUGGUAUCUGAUGAUGAUGGUGAUGUAUGAAGCUGUUUAUGGUGCUGCUUGAUGCUGAUAGAAAAAUGGCAUAACAUAUUUCCAGUUUUCUAUGAGCAGCCUACAAACAUAAUUUGCCUAAUUCUGGUAAUCACUCCAACCUAUCUAAAUGUCCUAAAGAUUGCAUAUUUUUAAGUUAUAGAGCUUUGAUUUUGUUAAAUCUGGUGUUUGCUUUUGAUGGCUGGAGUGUGUUAGAGGUGAUUAGUUUGACGUUUUAACAUGAUAUUUGAUGAGUUUUUGUUUUUAGAGUAAUGGGUUGUUAAUGCAUUUGCUAGUAGGAUUUUUUUCUGAUGGAUUGAUUGAAAGCCAGGAAGCGGUUUUGGUACAUAUUUAGUUUGACGUUUUAAUAUGAUAUUUGAUGAGAUAUCCCAUCGUAAGCCAUACAGGGGUUUUGAUACGUAUUUUCUUUCAAGAAUUCUAUUGCUAUCAGAUAUUAUAGGUCUGUCAUAUAUAGUUACUUUGCAUCGCAGAUGUAUUUGGAAUAUUUAGUUCCUGAGUAUUGCCUUUGAACCUUGUGCUUGGUUUUCACUGAAUGAUUUUGAUUGUUAAAACAGUUUAUUUAGUUUCAUUUCUGUUGUCUUUAUGUCAUCUGUGAGAUGACCAUUUACAGAACUGUUUAUCUGCAACUUUAACGCGUAAUCCUUUAACUAAGAACGUGUAGCUAUACAUAUCAUUAAGGACGCCAUCUGCAGAAACAGCUAAGAACUGUGAGUAGUUUUAAAGUUCACAGUUGACACACAAAGCUAAGUACCUCUUUAUCUCUAUCUAUAUGUAUCCUACAAUGCUUAUCUAAUGCACAAUCAUGGGUAUAAGUUGAUAUGGUAAAACAAUACAAGUAUAUGCUGGUUUUGGAACACAAUUUUUGUGUGUAAAUCAGUUAGUGUGAGUAAAUUUACCUUCAUACAUCAUUUGGACUAAUUGAUUUUAUAUGAUAAUCAGAAUCGGUACUCAUUUGAUGUUGUAUUUUAAGUAUGACAAGGAAGAGAAUUAAUACAUGCUUAUUACUGCUUUUCUCAUGUUUAAGGGUGCUCGGACUUCUAUAUCUUGGUCUCGAGCUGCUCUUAAAUACAUCAUUUUGGCACUUUCUAGACAUAUGGAUGAUGUAUUAGCUACGUAUAAGGCUGAUAUCUGGGAAUGGAUCAGCAUACGGUGAAUAUUUCCUCGCAGUCUCACUGGUUAGAAAGAUGGGCAUGAAAAGAUGUUCAAAAGUGACGGUUCAUCAAACAUCUUUAUCGAAUAUGAUGAGGAAGUUGAUUUUCCGAGUAUCUCCUCGCCAGGAUCUCCAGGCUCCUUUAAGUGGGAAGGAUUGCAGUUUGAAGCUGCUCUGGUUGCGGCCUUCAGGGGGGAAAGGAGGAACAAAUAACAAUGCAGUUACUGGAUGCUGAAAUUCAGGCCAAACGAAGGGAAGAUGAAAUUCAGAAUCGGAAAAUGCUUCUUUGAUUUCGCGAGGCCGGAAUCAAAUGGUUGGAGGAAGUUGCAUCUGGUAACAUCUCAGCUGAGGUGCAUCUCUUACAGGAAAAGAAGGAAUAUCUGAAAGAGAUAGAGGUUCUCCAUACCCAAGAAGAUAGGAACCUUGAAGUGACUAGAUAUUGAAUGGAAAAUCUUCGUUAGAAAGAAGAAGUUAGAAGGCAUGUGUUUCUUUCUUCCGCUCAAUCUGAGUUUAUAUUCUUUGCACUAGAAGUAAUGCUACCCUUUGUUAUUUGAUGCCAGUCUUACUUGUAACCACACUUCGUAUGAUUUUUGUGGUGUGCUUCAUACUGAGUAUAUGGAGUUCAUCAUGGUAUAUAUCAUGGUGAAGUAACUCUAAGAGUACUUUCUUGAUAUUUUUGUUGGAUUAAUUUGAUUUCCGAAUAA
Long non-coding RNA from Papaver somniferum (opium poppy), 2396 nucleotides. RefSeq lists it as uncharacterized. The record is from RefSeq and is a predicted model, not a curated record. NCBI's taxonomy places the organism in Eukaryota, Viridiplantae, Streptophyta, Magnoliopsida, Ranunculales, Papaveraceae. The transcript is spliced from 6 exons.